UAGGUACCUAAGAAUCUAGGAUCCAUGGC
This 29-nucleotide non-coding RNA is filed under the name Mus musculus (house mouse). Lineage: Eukaryota; Metazoa; Chordata; Mammalia; Rodentia; Muridae. The record is from RNAcentral.